RNAcentral lists this unclassified non-coding RNA (430 nucleotides) under soil metagenome. Its description in RNAcentral is "partial contains 5.8S ribosomal RNA, internal transcribed spacer 2, and large subunit ribosomal RNA". The stretch from base 1 to 120 matches the Rfam family "5.8S ribosomal RNA", at positions 35 to 154 of the family's 154-position model. The record is from RNAcentral.
GAUGAAGAACGCAGCGAAAUGCGAUACGUAAUGUGAAUUGCAGAAUUCAGUGAAUCAUCGAAUCUUUGAACGCAUAUUGCGCUCUCUGGUAUUCCGGAGAGCAUGCUUGUUUGAGUAUCAGUAAACACCUCAACUCCCUUUUCUUUUUUGAAAUUGGAGCUGGACUUGAGUGAUCCCAACGCUUUCUUCCAAGAAAGUGGCGGGUUGCUUGAAAUGCAGGUGCAGCUGAACUUUUCUCUGAGCUAUAAGCAUAUCUAUUUAGUCUGCCUAAAAAACAGAUUAUUACCUUUGCUGCAGCUAACAUAAAGGAGACUAGUUCUUGUGCUGACUGAUGCAGGAUUCACAGAGACAGCUUCGGCUGUCUUUGUAAACUCGAUCUCAAAUCAAGUAAGACUACCCGCUGAACUUAAGCAUAUCAAUAAGCGGAGGA